UCCCUGGAGGUCCAGUGGUUAGGACUCGGCACUUUCAUUGCUGGGUGGGCCUGGGUUCGAUCCUUGGUCAGGGAA
Molecule: transfer RNA, 75 nt
Filed under: Bos taurus (domestic cattle)
Lineage: Eukaryota; Metazoa; Chordata; Mammalia; Artiodactyla; Bovidae
Also listed under: 2 other names
Rfam family: tRNA
About the family: Transfer RNA (tRNA) molecules are approximately 80 nucleotides in length. Their secondary structure includes four short double-helical elements and three loops (D, anti-codon, and T loops). Further hydrogen bonds mediate the characteristic L-shaped molecular structure. tRNAs have two regions of fundamental functional importance: the anti-codon, which is responsible for specific mRNA codon recognition, and the 3' end, to which the tRNAs corresponding amino acid is attached (by aminoacyl-tRNA synthetases). tRNAs cope with the degeneracy of the genetic code in two manners: having more than one tRNA (with a specific anti-codon) for a particular amino acid; and 'wobble' base-pairing, i.e. permitting non-standard base-pairing at the 3rd anti-codon position.
Source: Rfam by way of RNAcentral